RNAcentral lists this ribosomal RNA (3051 nucleotides) under Triticum aestivum (bread wheat). RNAcentral's name for it is "partial small subunit ribosomal RNA". Lineage: Eukaryota; Viridiplantae; Streptophyta; Magnoliopsida; Poales; Poaceae. The record is from RNAcentral.
AUGGCGGACGGGGGAAAGAUGAAGGGCGUGGAGGGAAGCGGCGAGGGUACCGGGCAUGGUGAAGAUAUGGACGAGGAGGCGCAGGAGGAGCUGGAGCUCGCACUGUCUCUGGGGCGCCGGGGUUGGCAUCUGCCGCCAGUGCCGGUGCCGCCGCCGGCACCCGCCUUGAGAUGGUCGAUGGUCUUCCCGGCAUGGGACCCUGACGCUGCCGGGAGUUCGCGUGCUGCUGAGAGCGUUUGGGAUUCACCUCCUGUCCCGCCACUCAGGUUCCGUGACAUGUGGCGAGGUGGUGGCGCAGACGCUGAUGCAGGAGGCGCUCGCGAGGCUGAGGAGCACAACAAUGUCGAGGAAGAGGAAGGGAGUGAGGAUGGAGAUCGGGACCUGCAGAAUAAACGUCCUAAAGUGGGUGCUUUUGGCGAAGAAAGCUCUGGUGUUAAUGCAUCCUUCUUUGGAUAUGAAGCACCACAUUUGCAUGCUUUUGCUGAACAUGACCAUUUGAAGCUGUCACAUGGUCCAGAAAAUGAAUUGGAUUUUGGUUUGUCGCUUAUCUCAAAUGAUGGUGGGAAUGAUAUUCCAAGGGAGACCAACAGUCAUGGUGUCUGUGAUGUAGAAAGAUCAGGUGGAACAAAUGCAGAAGAUCUUGAAAUAAGAAUGGACCUAUCUGAUGAUCUCUUGCACCUGAUAUUCUCCUUCUUAUGCCAGAAGGAUUUAUGUAGAGCAGGGGCUGCCUGCAAACAGUGGCAGUCUGCUAGUAUGCAUGAGGAUUUCUGGAAAUAUUUGAAGUUUGAGAACACCAGAAUAUCUCUGCAGAACUUUGUUAAUAUUUGCCACCGUUAUCAGAAUGUGACAAAUCUCAAUUUGUCUGGUGUCUUAAGUGCAGAAAGCCUAGUGAUUGAAGCAAUAACAUUCUUAAGGCAUCUUAAGACCUUGAUAAUGGGCAAGGGACAACUGGGAGAAACAUUUUUUCAGGCUUUGGCUGAAUGCCCAUUGUUAAAUACUUUAACAGUCAGUGAUGCAUCCCUUGGUAGUGGCAUUCAAGAGGUAACUGUUAAUCAUGAUGGAUUGCAUGAACUUCAAAUUGUGAAGUGUCGUGCACUCAGAGUAUCUAUCAGAUGCCACCAACUUCGAAUACUGUCUCUGAGGAGAACUGGCAUGGCUCAUGUAUCACUCAAUUGUCCUCAGUUGCUUGAAUUGGAUUUUCAGUCCUGCCAUAAGCUUUCUGACACUGCAAUUCGUCAAGCAGCGACAGCCUGUCCACUGUUAGCGUCACUAGAUAUGUCAUCCUGCUCGUGUGUUACUGAUGAGACAUUGCGUGAGAUAGCUAAUGCAUGUCAAAAUCUUUCUGUUCUUGAUGCAUCUAACUGCCCCAACAUUUCUUUCGAGUCGGUAAAGCUUCCAAUGUUGGUAGACUUGAGACUAUCAAGUUGUGAGGGAAUCACAUCUGCUUCAAUGGGUGCAGUAUGUUUUAGUCGUAUACUUGAGGCGUUGCAACUUGAUAAUUGUAGCCUGUUGACAUCUGUGUCUUUGGAUCUGCCACAUCUCAAGAAUAUUAGUCUUGUACACCUCCGCAAGUUUGCUGAUUUAAAUCUGCGAAGCCCUGUGCUUUCUUACAUAAAAGUUUCCAGAUGCUCAGCACUUCGUUGUGUUACCAUAACAUCAAAUGCUCUUAAGAAACUGGUGCUUCAAAAACAAGAGAGCCUAUGUAAUUUAUCAUUGCAAUGCCACAAUUUAAUUGAUGUUGAUCUUAGUGAUUGCGAGUCAUUGACAAAUGAGAUCUGCAAAGUUCUCAGUGACGGAGGGGGUUGCCCCAUGCUCAGGUCAUUAAUUCUUGAUAAUUGUGAGAGUUUGAGUGUCGUGGAACUGAAUAAUAGUUCUUUGGUUAAUCUCUCACUUGCUGGUUGCCGUUCCAUGACAUUCCUGAAACUUGCAUGCCCAAAGCUUCAAGUGGUGAUUCUUGAUGGUUGUGAUCAUCUUGAAAGAGCAUCAUUUUGCCCGGUUGGUCUUGAAUCCCUAAACCUUGGAAUUUGUCCAAAGUUGAGUGUUCUACGCAUAGAGGCCCCAAAUAUGUCUAUAUUGGAGCUGAAGGGCUGUGGUGUCCUUUCUGAGGCUUCAAUUAAUUGUCCUUGCUUGAUAUCUUUAGAUGCCUCUUUCUGCAGACAGUUUAUGGAUGAUUCGCUGUCCCAAACAGCAGAAGCAUGCCCUCUUAUUGAACAUCUUAUAUUGUCUUCAUGUUUAUCCAUUGACGUCCGUGGAUUGUCUUCUCUGCAUUGCCUUCAGAAGCUGGCCUUGCUUGACCUAUCAUAUACAUUUUUGAUGAACUUGAAGCCGGUUUUUGACAGUUGUCUGCAGUUGAAGGUCUUGAAACUUUCAGCUUGCAAGUAUCUCAGUGAUUCAUCUUUGGAACCACUCUACAGAGAGGGUGCUCUACCGAUGCUCGUUGAGCUAGAUCUGUCCUACUCGUCCAUUGGGCAGACUGCAAUAGAAGAGCUUCUCGCGUGCUGUACAAAUUUGGUUAAUGUGAACCUAAACGGAUGUACGAACUUGCAUGAAUUGGUAUGUGGAUCAGACUAUUGCCGGUCCGGUGACAUGCCAAUUGAUGCUUUCCCCCCUGAUUCUGCACCAGACAAGACCAAAGAGAUCAGGGAGAGUUCGGAUUGUCAGCUUGAAGUUCUCAGUUGUACUGGCUGUCCAAAUAUUAAGAAAGUUGUUAUUCCUUCAACGGCCAACUAUCUGAAUUUGUCUAAGAUCAACCUUAAUUUGUCUGCAAACUUGAAGGAAGUAGAUUUGAAGUGCUCCAAUCUUUACAAUUUAAAUUUGAGCAAUUGUAACUCACUGGAGAUUCUGAAGCUUGAUUGCCCAAGAUUGGCUAACCUCCAACUUUUGGCAUGCACAAUGUUGCAAGAGGAUGAACUGAAAUCUGCACUAUCCUUUUGCGGUGCAUUGGAGAUCCUCAAUGUGCACUCUUGUCCACAAAUAAACACGCUGGAUUUUGGCAGGCUACAGGCUGUUUGCCCAACUCUUAAGCGCAUCCAGAGCAGCCCCAUCGCAUAG